UCCCUUCGGGGUGACGCUUGUGGAAUGAGCGGCGGACGGGUGAGUAACACGUGGGCAACCUACCUUGUAGACUGGGAUAACUCCGGGAAACCGGAGCUAAUACGGGAUGAUCAUUUGAAUCGCAUGAUUGAAAUGUAAAAGUGGGGAGUAAUCCUCACACUACGAGAUGGGCCCGCGGCGCAUUAGCUAGUUGGUAAGGUAAUGGCUUACCAAGGCAACGAUGCGUAGCCGACCUGAGAGGGUGAUCGGCCACACUGGAACUGAGACACGGUCCAGACUCCUACGGGAGGCAGCAGUAGGGAAUCAUCCGCAAUGGGCGAAAGCCUGACGGUGCAACGCCGCGUGAACGAUGAAGGUUUUCGGAUCGUAAAGUUCUGUUAUGAGGGAAGAACAAGUGCCGUUCGAAUAGGGCGGCACCUUGACGGUACCUCACGAGAAAGCCCCGGCUAACUACGUGCCAGCAGCCGCGGUAAUACGUAGGGGGCAAGCGUUGUCCGGAAUUAUUGGGCGUAAAGCGCGCGCAGGCGGUCUCUUAAGUCUGAUGUGAAAGCCCACGGCUCAACCGUGGAGGGUCAUUGGAAACUGGGAGACUUGAGUGUAGGAGAGGAAAGUGGAAUUCCACGUGUAGCGGU
This 632-nucleotide ribosomal RNA is filed under the name Bacillus sp. SH1(2016). RNAcentral's name for it is "bacterial SSU rRNA". It matches the Rfam family "Bacterial small subunit ribosomal RNA", at positions 75 to 682 of the family's 1533-position model. Lineage: Bacteria; Bacillati; Bacillota; Bacilli; Caryophanales; Bacillaceae. The record is from RNAcentral.